This is a long non-coding RNA of Cercocebus atys (sooty mangabey), 1403 nucleotides long. RefSeq lists it as uncharacterized. The transcript has 3 exons. NCBI's taxonomy places the organism in Eukaryota, Metazoa, Chordata, Mammalia, Primates, Cercopithecidae. The record is from RefSeq and is a predicted model, not a curated record.
UGCUCUGUCUAUGGAGUAGCCAUUCUUUAUUCCUUUACUUUCUUAAUAAACUCUAUGGACUCACUCUGAAUUCUUUUUUGGUGCAGGAUCCAAGAGCCCUCUCUUGGGGUCUGGAUUGGGACCCCUUUCUGGUAACAGUCUGACAUGGCACCAAAAGGAAGUGCCCAUUGGAACAUUUUGGACUUCAGAUUUUUGGGUCAGGAAUGCUGAACUGGUCCCCAAAGAAAACAAGAAGCAACAGAUAAAUGGAUCUCCCAGCAGCUGCAAGGGCCGGCAGGCGCCCCUGAAGCAGAGAAGCACCUCCCUGCGCCUUCCGCCAGGCGCCUAUUCCUCACUGGGACUGACGCAAGGAGGGGACUGGGGCAGAGGAGUAGAUAGGAGGCCUCUUCCCUCCCCCAGGGGCCCAGAGCCCAGGAGUCGGCAAGGAGGGGAAGGAGGAAGAGUGAGUAACGCCUCCUGCGCUCAGAGGAAAAAGCUCAGAGAUGGAUGGCUCCCUGGAGGUUGGAUAGGGCCAUGUGACUAAUUCUGGCCAAGGAACUGUGAGUAGAAGUGCAUUGUCACUUCCAGGCUGGGGCGUUUAAACAUUCAGGAACAUUCAGGCCUCCAGGCCAAAGCUCUGUUUCACUUCUAGCCUGAUGGCCUGAAUGUUCACAAUGCUGACUGCUCUGGUUUUCUUUGGUGACUGGUCAACCUGUGAUGCACGUAUAGCCUAAGUGAGAAGUGAACCUGGUUGUCAUAAACCCCUGAGACUUUUGGUACUAUUUGUUACUGCAGCAUACUCUAGCUGAAACUGACUGACAGAAGUGGCCCCAAAGCAACACCUGUUUGUUACCGCAGCAUACUCUAGCUGAAACUGACUGAUAGAGGUGGCCCCAAAGAAAGACCAUGAUUCACACAAUGUGUAAGUUUACCCUUCCCAGGUCUCUGUCCAGUCUUCAAAGAGGAUGUCUUAGGUUGGUGCUGAGGUAUCUUUAACACCUUCCAACCCUUGUUAAUCUCCCCCUUUACCUAAGAGAAAACAGGCCUUGGGCUCCGAAUCUUCAGCAGGCAAUAAAAUCUAGGCAGAAUUUUGUGGCAUUAUUUGGUUUUCUCCUUUAUUUAUUGAUGUAACCAGCAAGGGGUAGCUCUGACUCCAUUCCAGCCUCCCUGCUAAGCAUCUGACGGAUAUCAGUGCAUUUACUCUUAAUCUUCAUAGCAACUCUUUCGUAUGGGUGCUAUCUUCAUCCCCAUUUCCUGCCAGGGGGACACCAGACCCACAAAAGUGAAAUCACCUGCUUCAGAUUGCUCUUAGGCUGCCUUCAAUUUAAGGCAAAAAGAAGAUGAAUUUUCCAGCUGGGCAUGGUGAUUAAUGCCUGUAAUCCCAGCACUUUGGGAGGCCAAGGUGGGCGGAUCACGAGGUCAGG